UCUUCUAUCUAUAUAUAAUAGGAGAAGAAAAAAUGCCUACGUGUCAGCACCACAAAAAAAGAGAAUUUAAGAAUUAUUAAAAUUAAUUUAAAAUCUAAAAGUAAAAAACUAAAAAUUGAAAACACUACAAAAAUAAUGAAAAAUUCAACAGGCAGUUUUUACAGCUUUUUUUAAAAAAAAAAUCAAAAAUUUACAGUUACCUUUAAAAUAAAAAUCAAAAAUUUACAGUUACCUUAAUUGUAUAU
This 245-nucleotide long non-coding RNA is filed under the name Solanum tuberosum (potato). RNAcentral describes it as "long non-coding RNA (STUB_LNC004489)". Lineage: Eukaryota; Viridiplantae; Streptophyta; Magnoliopsida; Solanales; Solanaceae. The record is from RNAcentral.